AUUUUUAAGGCUCUUGUGUGAAUAAGGAGAAGUGCAGACAUGUGGGCAGAGCUGGUCAUUUUCAUUGUGGAUCUCAUGCUUGCUUUGGGCAUUUUUGCUAUCCUAUAUGCUGUUUACUUAAUAGCAGCCACGGGUAUUUUGAUCUUAAUCCUUCUCUAUAUUUUCAAAGGGGAGAUGGGAAAAAACUGUGACUUCAACAAGGGCAGAAUCUGGGUACUGGAUUCUGGCGAUGCUUCUGGAAGCCAUUCGCAGGCAACAUAGCGAGAAUCAGCUCCAGGAUGGUUCCUGUUCAUUUUCCAGCUUCAAGAGAAGGGCCUUCUUGCCCAAGGAGAGUGGUUCUCUCUUCUGAAGAGUGAGGAGCUCUCUGCAGUGGAGGAGACCCAUGGGAAGACUUGCUGGAACACCGGACCCACCCAUCUGAGAGGUCAAACUACCAUCUACACAUGAAUAACAAUGAAAUUCUCAUAAACAAGAGAAAUAUCCAGGAGGCAUGAAGAGUCGCAAUGCUUCAAAAAUGCACAUAUUAUGACAUUACAACCUCAGAAAAGAUAGAUUUUAUAACUAAAAGCUCAACCAUGAAGCGGAUAAACAAGCUAUUCAAUGGCAGAAUACUAACACUUGUUGAAAUACGUUUGGAGCUUUAACUAUAUAGAGUCACCAAAAUGUUCAAGAAGUAAAUUGAAAAAUUUUUCUUCAAAAAUGCCUUAGCCAAUCAAACAUGAACGUUUUUGCCAUUAUGGCAAAGCCGACCAUUGCCUCUGCUGGUAUCAGUGUGGUCCAUGGGGAAGCAUCAUCCUUCACUACCUGACUGAGGAACAGCGUGCAGGUCAUGCUAUCUUACAGUUUUGACUGGAUGUAAUUUCUCUCUCCACCAUAACACCUUGUCAAUACUUGUCACACUUAUUGCACUCUGUAUUUUACUUGCUUUGGUUAUUUGUAAAGUUUCCCCUAUUUCAUCUUCAAAUUAUCCCUAAAUUUUCACAACUGCACCUCAGCUGCUCUGUAUUCUCAACAGUGACUUUCCAAAUGUCAUGAAGAGUAAUAAAUAUUUUAUGAAUUAAUGAAUCCCCACAGAAUCUAAAUCCAUAUGUAUAAAUACUGUACAUUUCCAGGAAAGAUGAAAAUUAAUGAAGAAGAACCAUCAGCUGAGAAAUGAGCUUAUCAGAGUUCUCAAAAUUCAAUAAGAAAGUCCAGAAAUUAGGGUUCUAAACAUUUGUCCAUAUCUUUACAAAUGGUUCAUUCCUUAAGAGUAGUUAAUAAGCAGCAAAACUCUAGUUUUUAGGCAUCCACACUUUGUUCAUUGGAAGCCAAGUUGAGGCAAAGACAGUGUCAGAAGAGUAAUUGGGUUGGGCAGGUAUGUGAAGAGCCAUGGGAAAAGGAGAAACAGGGGAAGCUUGCCAUUCUGAAAUGUGGACCUAAGCAGUACUUGGUUCCCCGGGAAGCUGAGCAGGACACAGUAUGUGUAUUCAGGAAGUCUACUUUAGGCAGUUCUAUCCCAAACAACUGGAAUGGAAGACUGGAAAGAGCUAUUAAGCUAAACAACAGUGGGCACUGGGGGCUCAAUCCUCCAGGGGGUGCUCUCAAAAGCUGCAUAGAAUAUACCUCAAAAUUGUCCACCCGAAGGACAAACAAGAGAAUUACCCAUCUGCUUUCUUCUCCCUUUGGUCAAGAGUUGACCCAGGGAGUCUUCAUGACCUUGCACUUCCAGAAUUGUACAUGCUUUAGAACAGCUGAAUGGUUUCCAUAGGCAUCUUAAGAGAUGGCAAAAGAGAAGCUCCAGGACAGAGAGCAAGAGAUAGGUGUUGCCCUGACAGUAGAUGCUGUCAGGAGACACCGUCACCAAGCUGGCUGCUGUCAAAAGGCAGGCCAGAGGAGGUGAUCUGGGGCACAAGAGAGUGACUGACACCAGCUCUUAGUGGUACAUGCGUCUAAUGCGAAUCUAUCUGCUCUGGAAAUAAUGAGCACAGAAUCAUAUCCAUCCCUUCUGGACAGAGAAAGGGGAA
Myotis brandtii (Brandt's bat) is the source of this 2003-nucleotide long non-coding RNA. RefSeq lists it as uncharacterized. The transcript is spliced from 2 exons. The record is from RefSeq and is a predicted model, not a curated record. NCBI's taxonomy places the organism in Eukaryota, Metazoa, Chordata, Mammalia, Chiroptera, Vespertilionidae.